Molecule: unclassified non-coding RNA, 182 nt
Filed under: uncultured fungus
Lineage: Eukaryota; Fungi
Description: sequence contains ITS1
Source: RNAcentral
GUAUUUUGAAUUAUUUUAUUCAUAAUAUUUUUCAGACAAAGAGUUCAAGGAUAAGUUGAUGUUUGGGUCAUCCUCUCCAGAAAAGAGGACAACCUGACAUUGCACACAAGGUGGAUAUGGAUUUAAAAAGUGCCAUAAAACACUUAUUAUGAAUGAUCCUUCCGCAGGUUCACCUACGGAAA